GAAACUCGUAUUAAUACCGCAUACGACCUACGGGAGAAAGGGGGCAGUUUACUGCUCUCGCUAUUAGAUGAGCCUAAGUCGGAUUAGCUAGAUGGUGGGGUAAAGGCCUACCAUGGCGACGAUCUGUAGCUGGUCUGAGAGGAUGAUCAGCCACACCGGGACUGAGACACGGCCCGGACUCCUACGGGAGGCAGCAGUGGGGAAUAUUGGACAAUGGGGGAAACCCUGAUCCAGCCAUGCCGCGUGUGUGAAGAAGGCCUUUUGGUUGUAAAGCACUUUAAGCAGUGAAGAAGACUCUGUGGUUAAUACCCACAGACGAUGACAUUAGCUGCAGAAUAAGCACCGGCUAACUCUGUGCCAGCAGCCGCGGUAAUACAGAGGGUGCAAGCGUUAAUCGGAAUUACUGGGCGUAAAGGGAGCGUAGGUGGCUCGAUAAGUCAGAUGUGAAAUCCCCGGGCUCAACCUGGGAACUGCAUCUGAUACUGUCGUGCUAGAGUAUGUGAGAGGAAGGUAGAAUUCCAGGUGUAGCGGUGAAAUGCGUAGAGAUCUGGAGGAAUACCGAUGGCGAAGGCAGCCUUCUGGCAUAAUACUGACACUGAGGCUCGAAAGCGUGGGUAGCAAACAGGAUUAGAUACCCUGGUAGUCCACGCCGUAAACGAUGUCUACUAGUCGUUGGGUCCCUUGAGGACUUAGUGACGCAGCUAACGCAAUAAGUAGACCGCCUGGGG
This 728-nucleotide ribosomal RNA is filed under the name Psychrobacter luti. RNAcentral's name for it is "bacterial SSU rRNA". It matches the Rfam family "Bacterial small subunit ribosomal RNA", at positions 153 to 878 of the family's 1533-position model. Lineage: Bacteria; Pseudomonadati; Pseudomonadota; Gammaproteobacteria; Moraxellales; Moraxellaceae. The record is from RNAcentral.